ACACGCCAGGCUUAGGCUUACCCCUGCAUUGAGAGAGUAGCCCCUUGUCGAAGAGGGCAAUUGUCCCUAGUUAUUGCUAGAUAUCAUGAUGGAAACAGCUGCCUCUUGGUUUAUAAAUCAUCGGUGGUGAGUAAACCUGCUUAUUGUGGUCUUGCAGAUGUUUCUCAGGUCCCAUUUUAUGCCGCAGGUUGUAAGAAGGUGGUAAUAUUCUUGACUUUAUAAAGUACAGUGGUACCUCUGGUUAAGAACUUAAUUUGUUCCGGAGGUCCGUUCUUAACCUGAAACUGUUCUUAACCUGAGGUACCACUUUAGCUAAUGGGGCCUCCUGAUGCCGCUGCGCGAUUUCUGUUCUCAUCCUGAGGUAAAGUUCUUAACCCGAGGUACUACUACUGGGUUAGUAGAGUCUGUAACCUGAAGUGAUUGUAACCCGAAGCAUUUGUAACCUGAGGUACCACUGUAUAGAAAAGUAUUUGAGGGAUACCCACCUAAGCGCUCUGCUUGGGUUUCAUUUUUUUUUGCUCCCAUUCAAACCCCUGUUUUGUUAUGCAGGGUUUAGAAAAAACCUAUUAUGAGGGAAGAGCAGUUCUGGUGGUGUAAGCUGACUGACCUCCCCUCCCCUCACCCCAACCACAAAAUUUAGUUUUAAAUUUGCAGCGCAGAGAGUCUUGACAGUCAUCACCAAUGCCCUGCAUAGGACAUUCAUCCCAAACACAGGUCUUUGUCUCAUCAUGGGGCUUUCAAUACAUUAGAUUUGAAAACAGAGAAGGGAGUUAAUGAAAUUCUGAGCGGUCCAGGGGGCAAUACCUUUUCUUUCUGCGAUGUCUUUUAGAUAGACUUGGAUCCUUAUGUGUGCUCUUUGUCACAUAAAGAUCAGGCUUGUUUAAAACAAAGGAGUGUUGACCUUCCAACCCUCCCCAAGCCUGUGGCGGCUUUCAGGACUCUUUGUUUGCUUUUAAGUGGGUAGGUGACACUUCUCGCCUUUCUGGGUUUUCAGUUAUCUUCAUUCAUCUUAUCACCACAUAAAAUAGUUGUUUUGUUUUGUUUUUAAAAAAUCCUUUGCCUUUAUCUUUAGGUUAGGUUAGUCUCUUAGUAUUAGAUUUUUGAACUAAUAAAAGCAAAUACGAGAUGUUUGAAGCAUUACAAUUUUUUCAUAUUGGGAAAUGUUGGGGACUUUGAUGUUUUACAAAAUCACUUGCACGUUUACUGAAAUGAAACCAAAGUUCUUGCUCUUUGAAAUACAUUUUUUAAGAACCUUGGGGGUAGGUAUUUCUGUGCUUUUACAAAAAACAACAACCCCCAAACCUUUCUGUUAUCAAAAGGAUAUAUGUUUAGAGAAAUGCAUUGUUUUCGUGUAAAAUAUGUGUGUACGUUGCUUAUUGCUGUGAACUUUAAAUGUCCAUUUUUACUUCAGCUUGCAUUAGACCAGUUAGCCAAUCCUUCUGCUUGCCCCAAGGAUUACUUUCUCUGUUUCUGCAAUCUCUUGUGUAGCUGGUCAUUGAGGGAAUAGUUGCUGGAUUCUAAUGUCUAG
This is a non-coding RNA of Podarcis lilfordi (Lilford's wall lizard), 1528 nucleotides long. NCBI's taxonomy places the organism in Eukaryota, Metazoa, Chordata, Lepidosauria, Squamata, Lacertidae. The record is from the annotation of a GenBank genome assembly.